Molecule: long non-coding RNA, 970 nt
Organism: Hypanus sabinus (Atlantic stingray)
Lineage: Eukaryota; Metazoa; Chordata; Chondrichthyes; Myliobatiformes; Dasyatidae
Exons: 2
Source: RefSeq, a predicted model, not a curated record
GGGAGGGUGCAGUAGCAGUGUGUGGGGGGGAGGUUACAGAGACAUGGAGAGGUGUGGGAAUUACAGAGAUAGGAAGGAGUGAAGGUGAGAGAGAGAGAGAGAGUUACAGAGACGGGGUAUAAGGACUGGAGGGGGUUACAGAGAUGGGGGUAUAGGGACUGGAGGGGGUUAUAGAGAUGGGGGUAUAGGGACUGGAGGGGGUUACAGAGAUGGGGGAUAUAGGGACUGGAGUGGUUUACAGAGAGAGGGAGGGGAGUAGGGGCCAGAGGGGGUUUUAGAAAUACGGAGGGUGUAGGUGAGGAAGGUGGGGGUGUUACAGAGGUCUGUGAUGUCAAGAAGGGAAGGGGUUACAGAGAUUGGGAGGGGAGUAGAGGCUGGAGUGGGUUACAGAGAAGGGGAGGGGGUGUUGAAUCAGGAGUGGGUUACAGAGACAGGGAGGAGUGUUGAAUCUAGAGUGGGUUACAGAGACAGGGAGGGGUGUUGUAUCUAGAGUGGGUUACAGAGACAGGGAGGGGUGUUGUAUCUAGAGUGGGUUACAGAGACAGGGAGGGGUGUUGAAUCUAGAGUGGGUUACAGAUACAGGGAAGGGUGUUGUAUCUAGAGUGGGUUACAGAGACAGGGAGGGGUGUUGUAUCUAGAGUGGGUUACAGAGACAGGGAGGGGUGUUGAAUCUAGAGUGGGUUACAGAGACAGGGAGGGGUGUUGAAUCAGGAGUGGGUUACAGAGACAGGGAGGGGUGUUGAAUCUAGAGUGGGUUACAGAGACAGGGAGGGGUGUUGAAUCUAGAGUGGGUUACAGAGACAGGGAGGGGUGUUGAAUCAGGAGUGGGUUACAGAGACAGGGAGGGGUGUUGAAUCUAGAGUGGGUUACAGAGACAGGGAGGGGUGUUGAAUCUAGAGUGGGUUACAGAGACAGGGAGGGGUGUUGAAUCUAGAGUGGGUUACAGAGACAGGGAGGGGUGUUGUAUCUA